This 253-nucleotide ribosomal RNA is filed under the name uncultured bacterium. RNAcentral's name for it is "partial 16S ribosomal RNA". It matches the Rfam family "Bacterial small subunit ribosomal RNA", at positions 524 to 776 of the family's 1533-position model. The record is from RNAcentral.
UACGGAGGGGGCUAGCGUUGUUCGGAAUUACUGGGCGUAAAGCGUACGUAGGCGGUUUUGUAAGUUAGAGGUGAAAGCCUGGAGCUCAACUCCAGAAUUGCCUUUAAGACUGCAUCACUUGAACGUCGGAGAGGUGAGUGGAAUUCCGAGUGUAGAGGUGAAAUUCGUAGAUAUUCGGAAGAACACCAGUGGCGAAGGCGGCUCACUGGACGACUGUUGACGCUGAGGUACGAAAGCGUGGGGAGCAAACAGG